Molecule: ribosomal RNA, 424 nt
Filed under: Verrucomicrobiota bacterium
Lineage: Bacteria; Pseudomonadati; Verrucomicrobiota
Description: Verrucomicrobia bacterium partial 16S ribosomal RNA
Rfam family: Bacterial small subunit ribosomal RNA
Source: RNAcentral
UGAGGAAUAUUGGUCAAUGGGCGAGAGCCUGAACCAGCCAAGUAGCGUGCAGGAUGACGGCCCUAUGGGUUGUAAACUGCUUUUAUAUGGGAAUAAAGUGAGGGACGUGUCCCUUAUUGCAUGUACCAUAUGAAUAAGGACCGGCUAAUUCCGUGCCAGCAGCCGCGGUAAUACGGAAGGUCCAGGCGUUAUCCGGAUUUAUUGGGUUUAAAGGGAGCGUAGGCUGUUUGUUAAGCGUGUUGUGAAAUGUAGACGCUCAACGUCUGAAUUGCAGCGCAUACUGGUUUCCUUGAGUACGCACAACGUUGGCGGAAUUCGUCGUGUAGCGGUGAAAUGCUUAGAUAUGACGAAGAACUCCGAUUGCGAAGGCAGCUGACGGGAGCGCAACUGACGCUUAAGCUCGAAGGUGCGGGUAUCAAACAGG